Humulus lupulus (European hop) is the source of this 273-nucleotide long non-coding RNA. RefSeq lists it as uncharacterized. The record is from RefSeq and is a predicted model, not a curated record. The transcript has 3 exons. NCBI's taxonomy places the organism in Eukaryota, Viridiplantae, Streptophyta, Magnoliopsida, Rosales, Cannabaceae.
AUAGAUGCAUGCAAUGGAUACUACUGUGAUGGUUAUAGGCAAAAUUCCUAUAACAAACCCAAGCUUUGGACUGAAAAUUGGGAUGGAUGUACUUUGGUGGAACAAACUUUGGUCGGACUUCCGGCGGACCGUUCUAUAUUACUAGUUAUGAUUAUGAUGCUCCAAUUGAUGAAUAUGGCUUACUGAGUGAGCCUAAAUGGGGACAUCUAAAGGAUCUGCAUGCUGCUAUAAAGCUUUGUGAACCUUCCCUGGUUGAUGCUGAUUCACCCCAGU